This 645-nucleotide ribosomal RNA is filed under the name uncultured Cryptococcus. RNAcentral's name for it is "eukaryotic LSU rRNA". The stretch from base 210 to 363 matches the Rfam family "5.8S ribosomal RNA". The record is from RNAcentral. Lineage: Eukaryota; Fungi; Basidiomycota; Tremellomycetes.
GGAAGUAAAAGUCGUAACAAGGUUUCCGUAGGUGAACCUGCGGAAGGAUCAUUAAUGAUUGAACGUCUGUCGAGCUUGCUCACAGGCACAUCAUAUCCAUAACACCUGUGCACUUGUCGGAUGGCUUAGUGAAGACCGCAAGGUUGGAACUAUCCGUCUACUUUACAUAACAAUUCUGUAACAAAUGUAGUCUUAUUAUAACAUAAUAAAACUUUCAACAACGGAUCUCUUGGCUCUCGCAUCGAUGAAGAACGCAGCGAAAUGCGAUAAGUAAUGUGAAUUGCAGAAUUCAGUGAAUCAUCGAAUCUUUGAACGCACCUUGCGCUCCUUGGUAUUCCGAGGAGCAUGCCUGUUUGAGUGUCAUGAAAACCCUCAACCUUAGAUUGGUUAAAACCUUUCUUUGGCUUGGAUUUGGACGUUUGCCGAUGAUAAGUCGGCUCGUCUUAAAAGUAAUAGCUGGAUCUGUCUCGCGACAUGGUUUGACUUGGCGUAAUAAGUAUUUCGCUAAGGACAUCUUCGGAUGGCCGCGUUGCAAGACUAAAGACCGCUUUCUAAUCCAUUGAUCUUCGGAUUAAUAUUCUUGACAUCUGGCCUCAAAUCAGGUAGGACUACCCGCUGAACUUAAGCAUAUCAAUAAGCGGAGGA